Doryrhamphus excisus (bluestripe pipefish) is the source of this 667-nucleotide long non-coding RNA. RefSeq lists it as uncharacterized. Lineage: Eukaryota; Metazoa; Chordata; Actinopteri; Syngnathiformes; Syngnathidae. The record is from RefSeq and is a predicted model, not a curated record.
CUUCUAUGUGACAGGAGUGCUUUCUUUUCCUGUGGGUAGUGUUUUAGCAACCCACAGAAUUUGUGAAACACAUCAAGAGCGUGGAAGAGAUACCAGGAGACAGGCCAGAUCUUUGGUGCAGUAGCAAGAGUGAGGAUUAUGUGGCUCCACUUCUCCGUUUCUGCCCUGAGGCCACCAUUGAAGACACAGGAAUUUUUUUGUUCGCUCACACCCACACUAUUCUUUAAGCCCUGCAGGUAAUCCUUUCCCUGUGGGCGGCACGUGGAACCGGCGGCAGAUAAUCCUGCCAACAGUUGCACAGCUGUCAUGUCGCAAACGACCUCGUAUGAUAACCAGGAGGCGGUGCAGACAGACAGAAAGGUGCGGCUAUUUUAUUAAAAAUAAAAAAAAACAAAAAAAGACGUAUGAGCCACUUUGUGACAGGAAGUCCAGAGGUCAGGUGACAUGUUCUUAACAUCCUGCUGUCAUUAAAUAUGCAUACAACUCCACCCUUUUACACUGCCUGACAAAAACGGCUUUUUAUUAUUUUUUUUAUUUAUUUUUUUUAAAUGGGAUGACCUGAAAAUUUGGUUCAAACUGAACUACACUGGUUGAUGGCCGAUGUUACCAUCUCUGUCAAUUCUUUUUCUCCACCAUGUCAAAAAAAAAUAUCUCUGAUGGUGGAAAA